Molecule: ribosomal RNA, 465 nt
Filed under: uncultured bacterium
Lineage: Bacteria
Description: partial 16S ribosomal RNA
Rfam family: Bacterial small subunit ribosomal RNA
Source: RNAcentral
GACGAACGCUGGCGGCGUGCUUAACACAUGCAAGUCGUACGGUAAGGCCCUUUCGGGGGUACACGAGUGGCGAACGGGUGAGUAACACGUGAGUAACCUGCCCACAACUUUGGGAUAACGCUAGGAAACUGGUGCUAAUACUGGAUAUGUGCUCCUGCUGCAUGGUGGGGGUUGGAAAGCUCCGGCGGUUGUGGAUGGACUCGCGGCCUAUCAGCUGGUUGGUGGGGUAGUGGCCUACCAAGGCGGCGACGGGUAGCCGGCCUGAGAGGGUGACCGGCCACAUUGGGACUGAGAUACGGCCCAGACUCCUACGGGAGGCAGCAGUGGGGAAUAUUGCACAAUGGGCGCAAGCCUGAUGCAGAAACGCCGCGUGCGGGAUGACGGCCUUCGGGUUGUAAACCGCUUUCAGCAGGGACGAAGCUUUUUGUGACGGUACCUGCAGAAGAAGCACCGGCUAACUACGUG